Molecule: long non-coding RNA, 5078 nt
Filed under: Lotus japonicus
Lineage: Eukaryota; Viridiplantae; Streptophyta; Magnoliopsida; Fabales; Fabaceae
Description: long non-coding RNA (LJAP_LNC002072)
Source: RNAcentral
CCUUUUUAAAGUAGCAAUCCAUUUUAUUUGCAACAAAUAUAUAUAUAUGAACUUUGAGAACAAACCUUCUCAAUUAGGAAACUUUCACCGAUAUCAAUUCACCGAUAUCAAAUCACCGAAACACAAGACGAUAACAUCAACACAAACAAGCAUAAAUGAACCUUGCUCAUGCAUGUAUGCAUGGUGCUUAUUUUAGAUAGAUAUACGACUGACGUUCACAACAUCUAAUCACUCCAUGGCAGUAUCGAUGUUCAAGCCAGGGUUGAAGUGAAAGACCAUGAAAAGAUGUCAUGUCUUUCCCUGCCGUCACAGAUGGUUCCACUAAAACCAACACUGACUUUCUCAGGAAGCACGGCCUUCAAAUCAAUGACUUGAGAAAUGGUGGAAAUUUGACCAUUCCCAUGAGUCACAACAACACUCAAUGUCUUAGCUAGAGAGUCAUAGAUUAUACUUACUUUCUCCAACGAUCCGGACACUCUGUUCCAUUUCACAGUCUUCAACGAAAUCAAGGAGUUAACGUCAAUUCCAAUAUGAUUAUAACUCGGGUCACACUCAUUAUUGAUGUAGCUAUCAAAUUCCACUGCAACAAACCGAUUGAAGGCAUUGUUGGGAUCAACUAUAGCGAGCGCCCCUCCACCUGAAUUGUUGGGAAUCUGAGUCCCAAAUGGCGCCAAAAAGAAGACAAGUCCAUCAGCCGGAUAACGAUUUGGAAUGUCAGUCACAAUGAAAGAGAAGGAGGUGACGAAGCUUGCAACCUCGCCAGUGGUAGAAUCCCAGAUGGGCACAGGCGUUGUGUACAAAGCACGGCUUUGUUCAAUUGAUGUAUCAUCAGGCAGGGCCAAGAUCCCAUUAUCUAAAAUCUUGGCACCACCUUGUAGGGUUAUAUUUGCGUCACCUGGGGUGAAUUUCGGGAAGUUGAAGGAAAUUUUCUUGGGGGUGGCCAUGGUUGAUGUGCUUUGUUGAUAAUUAUCAAUGUGGAGUUGAUGAUCGAUAUAUAUUUGAUAGUUUUAUGCAUGGUAUGGUGAUUAAUUACUCCUAUUUAUAGGCUAUAUUUUUAAUACUGUAUGAUGCAAAACUGCGGAUUGCAAAAUUCAAAAGAAAAAGUCAUGACUUUCUUUCCAAGGCAGCAAGUUGCUAAAGAUAUAGUAAAAGAACACGGCAGGGGUAAUUAAUACUCUCCCCAUUUUAAAAUAUAAGUUGUUUGAGUAUUUGUACUAUAUACGUACUAAAGUAUGUGCUGUUUUGCAAAUCUAAAAUAUUUUUUUUUACUUUCUUUUCUAUAUUAUCAUUUCAUAUUAUAUUUCUUUUCUAGCUACUAUCUUUAAUUUUCACAUAUCACAAUUCUCGGUAUGCACGUAACUAUAAUCACAUUACUCUGCUCUGAAUAUUAAAUAGGAUUAUUUAGUUAAAAUAAUUAAAGAGGAUUAUUUAGUUAAAAUAUUUAUUAAAUGAUGAGUUUUUAAUAUCCAUAUAUAAUCUUAAGUAACAUAUAUUUUGGAACGAAAUGAGUAACAUAUAUAGUCAUGGCACUUUAGUUCUGACACAUUUACAACUUAUUUUGAUACUAUUUUUUUCCAAAAAUAAAAAUACAACUAGUAUAUAAAUAUAUAAUAUAUGAUAAUAAAAUAUCAAAAGUCAAAACUUUGGGGGCAUGCCCACAGUGGCUCCGCCCCUUGUUACUAACUUACCACCAUCACUAGAAGCUUAUCCAAAAAAAAAAAGACCACCAUCACUAGAAAAUUUUAGUUUGUAUUCGUGUUUGAUGUGUAAUAAUUAAGUGGUUUUCUUUUCCAUUUUUUUUUUCUGAAUUAGAAAAUUGCUACUCGUGAAAGAAAUUAUUAAUCCUGCUUCAUGGCAUAUAUAAAGGAAUGAAACGUGAAAACAUUAUCAUUCUGACUUUUUAAACUACACAUGUAUUUUUAUAAUGUUGUCAUUGAAGAUUAAUGGAUAACGCAGACAUAUAUACUUGGCAAUGACAUGCCUAGAUCAAUUUGAAGAAAUUGAGAAUAUUAAAAAUAUAUAGGAGAUUUAAAUAUGGUAGACAGAUUUCAUGAUAAUAUGUGCGUUCAUGUAUAUUUCCCCAUGUAUUUGUACGAUAGGAGUUGAAUUAGAAGUAGAUAGAUUCAAUUCCCACGAUGACAAAAGCCUAUCAAAUUCUUUCAAGAUAGAAAAUACUCAAAAUAGUAUUUUUUUAACCAAGAUAGAAAAUAGUUAAGAACAUGCUAAACUGAUAAAAUAUUCUUUUAUCAUUAAGUCUAACUUUAUCUUAAAAGUUAGCUGAAGAGUAAAAAUUUAUCUAACUUAUAUAAGGACUUAUUUAAUCAUAUGUCUAAUUAAUGUGUGACUUUUUAACACAUCACAUCACAUUGAUCAUCUAUAGCAUGAAAUUUGCACAAAUGAACAUCUGCGAAUAUCUCAUCUGUGAGUAGUUAAUUUCUCAUAAACUAAUUUAGCUAGGAUGAGCUAUGAUAUCAUCUCAGAGUUUGGAUUAAGUCUAAUUAACUCCAAGAACCACCCUAACAAUUAAUGACUAAUUUAAUUAGUCAUAACUCUAGUCAAUCCGAGACUUCUUAACAUCUCAGAUAUAUUAUAUUUUUUUUCACUUUUACUGAGAUGUGUUUUUGUCAUUGUAAUGUGGUCUAUCUUAUUAUUGCAACAAGUGGAUAAACAUGAAAAAUAAAUCUAUUCACAAUCAUUUCACUCACACCCCAUAGAAAGAUAUAUAAGAAUAAGAUAGAGAAAUAACAGUAAUGAUGAGUGAUGUGAUAAGAAAAGAGUGACAAAAAGUGAAUGAGAAUGAUAUGAAAAAAUGAGUGUUGUUCUAGUCGGCACAAACAACCUCUCGGCCAACUAUUAUCCUAGACGACCCAAAUGGCCUCUCAACCCAUUGUUCUCUUGGUAAGCCCAAGUGACCACACAACCCAGUGCUCGUUGAGUUGCCUGCUGCCCAAGAUGACCAAAGAAAAAACGCUUAAAAUUGUAAAGGGAAUCAAAUUGAGUCCUUAAGAAAAAAAAAUUGCAUCAAAUUGGAUCCCUUGAAGUAUUUUUUUAAUCAAAUUAAGUCUUUUGCUCAAUUUUAACCGAUCAACGAUCUAGGGGCAAGCCUAUAGUCAGCUGAGGAUGACCACAUAGACUUUUUCACAUCAAUUUUAAUCCCUUGAAAAUAUUUUAAUCAAUUUUAAUCCAUGUUUUUCCACCUUCAUCUUCUUCCUCUUCCUCCCAUAACUCAAAUCCUUAAACCCAGAAAUUCAAAACCCUAAAAAAACUAUAUAUUCAUCACAUUCACCUUUGUUCUUCCAAAAUCUAGAAAAUCAGCGAUUUUUUUUUGUAGUGUAUGCAGUUGGUAAAAUGUUAAAAUAACUAUGGGACCUUUAUUUACUUUCAUUAGCAUUAGCUUUUAUUUCAAUUUUCCUGCAUAUGGGUAUAUGAAUCCAGUUGCUUAUUUGCUCGCUGUUGCUUGCAAUUUUUUUAAUUAACGCACAAUCAAUCUCAAUACUUUUCAAUGCAUUGUUGAAUUGGGUGCCCACUAGGGUGGGUAAGUUAUAAUCCUGGUCCACCCAUGGACCAUCCCUCAACACCAUUGGAUUAGAGAAUCUUGAAAUAUUCUUUAGAUCAACGGUUAGGAUUUAUUGGAAAUCAAAAGGGUAAAAGUGUAAAAUGUCAAACCUUCUCUUCCUCCCUCCUCCCUUCCCCAGAGAAACCCAUUCAAGUUUCAACCACCAACCUUCAUCAGACCUCCAUAACCAAGCCAAGCCCACCUUCAAUCCCUCCAUUGUCAUUCUCAAAUAAUUGCAGUUUAAAUAAACUAAUUCCAAGUACAUUCGUGUAGAAUUGUUUCAUUAUCAACACUUAUUCCAAUUCUAAACAAAGGGUACAAACGCUGCAUGAAAUGUCUUAGCUGAUGAAGACACAUUUUUAAUUGAAAGACUAUAUGUGAGCACAAGAAGAUGACAAAAGCUUGAUCAUAAUAACCAGAUCUGAAGCAAACUCAAAAUGCAUCCCGUUCCAGAAAUCAAUUUAUACAAAAAACUCAAAAGAACCUAAAAAAAUACAUAUCAGAUCUAUAGCAAAUGAGAAGGGGAUGGAAAGGAGAUGAACAACUUGAAAAAAGCUAUGAACUUGAACUUGAACCAGACCCAACAGCCGAGGAUGGUGGCAGGUGAUUCAUGAAGAGACAAUGAUGGCCUGCGUCAUGUCCUGGUUCAGACCGUGCCGAUCCUCGCAGCACACCGUCGUCGUCACCCUCCUCGGCGCUUCCCCGUCGCUGCACUUCACAGUCGCCUAGUCGGACUCCCUUGGAAACGGCCACGGUUCACCCUUCGCCGCAGAAGUAAUCGAACCAGAGGAGGAGGAUGAAGAUGUCGUGGUGGAGCUUUUCGAUUGAGAAAGGUAAAGGGAGGAGGAACAAAGAGUCUGCCAGGAAGAGGAAAGAGUAAAGGCUAAAGGGAAAGGGAAAAGACAAAGUUAUCCUCUGGUCCACAUGGACCAGGAUUAUAACUUGCCCACCCUAGUGGGCACCGUUGAAUUGCAGUUGGUUCAAGGGAUAUUUCAUUAAUUUAUGUGCAAUCUGAUUGAUAGUGAGGCAUAGUAUUUAAUUAGAUGUCAUGUGAAGCUAAACACUAGUUUGGGAUUGUGGAUCCUUUUUUCAAUUAUGAACACCUAUUUACUGUGGCUGAAUCCUUAGUUUAUAUGGGAUAUUUUUAACUAGAAUACGUUGUGUCACAGUGUGAUUCAGGUGGACAACAUUUCAAUAAUACUCAGGGUAUCCAGAAAGCUGAUAGGGGUGGUUUGGCUUAGCCUGGAACCAUUACCCCCACAAUAUAAUUCUACAUUAGGACUACUGAUGUCCCUAUAUGCAAUGUAACCAAACAUUAAUAAACGUGACUGAAUAUAAAAUGAUUAAAGGCAAAUUCAAUACAAAUCAUUAAGCAAAAAUCCAUAUGCAUGGUGCAUAUUUUAGAUAGUACUGAAGUUCACAACAUCAAAUCAUUAUAGCAUAAGUAGGGCAAAUCAUGCAGAGUUUGCAAUAACAUUUAUGUUGAGCUGUUGUUGUUCAAGGUUGAAGUGAAAGACCAUGA